This 366-nucleotide unclassified non-coding RNA is filed under the name Hevea brasiliensis (rubber tree). Lineage: Eukaryota; Viridiplantae; Streptophyta; Magnoliopsida; Malpighiales; Euphorbiaceae. The record is from RNAcentral.
GGAAAAAAUUCCUGCACUGCAGACCAGUGGGGUUGACUUCAUGACGCUCUGGGAGUUGCAAGAUGAGCUUGAUGUUAGAUAUAUAUAUUCCAAUGACAUUCAUGCCAUGCUUCAAACAUAUGGAGUGGAAGCUGCUAGGGAAACCAUAAUUAGAGAAAUUCAAAACAUUUUCACCUCAUAUGGGAUAUCUGUCAAUAUGCGACAUCUAACUCUCGUUGCUGAUUAUAUGACUCAUUCCGGUGGUUACCGACCGAUGAAUCGACUAGGAGGCAUAGCCGAUUCAAUAUCUCCUUUUAGUCGAAUGACUUUCGAGACGGCUUCAAAGUUCAUUGUUCAAGCUGCAUUCCAUGGGGAGAUAGAUGCCUU